Molecule: ribosomal RNA, 1376 nt
Filed under: uncultured bacterium
Lineage: Bacteria
Description: bacterial SSU rRNA
Rfam family: Bacterial small subunit ribosomal RNA
Source: RNAcentral
AGAGUUUGAUCCUGGCUCAGGACGAACGCUGUUGGCGCGCCUAACACAUGCAAGUCGAACGAGAGAUGAGGAGCUUGCUCUUCAAAUCGAGUGGCGAACGGGUGAGUAACGCGUGAGGAACCUGCCUCAAAGAGGGGGACAACAGUUGGAAACGACUGCUAAUACCGCAUAAGCCCACGGCUCGGCAUCGAGCAGAGGGAAAAGGAGCAAUCCGCUUUGAGAUGGCCUCGCGUCCGAUUAGCUAGUUGGUGAGGUAACGGCCCACCAAGGCGACGAUCGGUAGCCGGACUGAGAGGUUGAACGGCCACAUUGGGACUGAGACACGGCCCAGACUCCUACGGGAGGCAGCAGUGGGGAAUAUUGCACAAUGGGGGAAACCCUGAUGCAGCGACGCCGCGUGGAGGAAGAAGGUCUUCGGAUUGUAAACUCCUGUUGUUGAGGAAGAUAAUGACGGUACUCAACAAGGAAGUGACGGCUAACUACGUGCCAGCAGCCGCGGUAAAACGUAGGUCACAAGCGUUGUCCGGAAUUACUGGGUGUAAAGGGAGCGCAGGCGGGAGAACAAGUUGGAAGUGAAAUCCAUGGGCUCAACCCAUGAACUGCUUUCAAAACUGUUUUUCUUGAGUAGUGCAGAGGUAGGCGGAAUUCCCGGUGUAGCGGUGGAAUGCGUAGAUAUCGGGAGGAACACCAGUGGCGAAGGCGGCCUACUGGGCACCAACUGACGCUGAGGCUCGAAAGUGUGGGUAGCAAACAGGAUUAGAUACCCUGGUAGUCCACACCGUAAACGAUGAUUACUAGGUGUUGGAGGAUUGACCCCUUCAGUGCCGCAGUUAACACAAUAAGUAAUCCACCUGGGGAGUACGACCGCAAGGUUGAAACUCAAAGGAAUUGACGGGGGCCCGCACAAGCAGUGGAGUAUGUGGUUUAAUUCGACGCAACGCGAAGAACCUUACCAAGUCUUGACAUCCCUUGACGAUGCUGGAAACAGUAUUUCUCUUCGGAGCAAGGAGACAGGUGGUGCAUGGUUGUCGUCAGCUCGUGUCGUGAGAUGUUGGGUUAAGUCCCGCAACGAGGGCAACCCCUAUCUUCAGUAGCCAGCAGGUAAGGCUGGGCACUCUGGAGAGACUGCCAGGGAUAACCUGGAGGAAGGUGGGGACGACGUCAAAUCAUCAUGCCCCUUAUGAUCUGGGCGACACACGUGCUACAAUGGCGGUCACAAAGUGAGGCAAACCUGCGAGGGGGAGCAAACCACAAAAAGGCCGUCCCAGUUCGGACUGUAGUCUGCAACCCGACUACACGAAGCUGGAAUCGCUAGUAAUCGCGAAUCAGAAUGUCGCGGUGAAUACGUUCCCGGGUCUUGCACGCACCGCCCGUCA